RNAcentral lists this transfer RNA (72 nucleotides) under Camelus bactrianus (Bactrian camel). It matches the Rfam family "tRNA". From Rfam's summary of the family: Transfer RNA (tRNA) molecules are approximately 80 nucleotides in length. Their secondary structure includes four short double-helical elements and three loops (D, anti-codon, and T loops). Further hydrogen bonds mediate the characteristic L-shaped molecular structure. tRNAs have two regions of fundamental functional importance: the anti-codon, which is responsible for specific mRNA codon recognition, and the 3' end, to which the tRNAs corresponding amino acid is attached (by aminoacyl-tRNA synthetases). tRNAs cope with the degeneracy of the genetic code in two manners: having more than one tRNA (with a specific anti-codon) for a particular amino acid; and 'wobble' base-pairing, i.e. permitting non-standard base-pairing at the 3rd anti-codon position. Lineage: Eukaryota; Metazoa; Chordata; Mammalia; Artiodactyla; Camelidae. RNAcentral also lists the same sequence under 1 other name. The record is from Rfam by way of RNAcentral.
GGGGGUAUAGCUUAGAGGUAGAGUGUGUGCUUAGCAUGCACGAGGUCCUGGGUUCAAUCCUCAGUACCUCCG